GCCUAGCCGUAAAAAAUUAUUUACACCCACCAGCGCCAGGGAACUACGAGCAAUGCUUAAAACCCAAAGGAUUUGACGGUGUCCUAUCCCCCUAGAGGAGCCUGUUCUAUAAUCGAUGAUCCCCGCUACACCCAACCACUUCUAGCUUUUCAGUCUGUAUACCUCCGUCGAAAGCUCACCGUAUGAACGUUUACAGUGGGCUCAAUGAUCCUCAUCAACAUGUCAGGUCAAGGUGCAACUAAAGAAGUGGUAAGUGAUGGGCUACAAUUUCUAAUCUAGAACAAACGAAAAGCUGUGUGAAACCACAGCCAUGAAGGUGGAUUUAGCAGUAAAAAGAAAAUAGAGUGUUCUUUUUAAUUUGGCUCUAGGACGUGUACAAACCGCCCGUCACCCUCUUCGAUAGAUAAUCUUAAAAGUCUAUAACCCCACUUAAAACACAAGAAGAGGCAAGUCGUAACAUGGUAAGUGUACUGGAAAGUGCACUUGGUUAACCAAAAUGUAGCUUAAUUAAAGCCCCCCGCUUACACCGAGGAAAUAUCCGUGAAAUUCAGAUCAUUUUGAGCCUAAAUCCUAGCCUUCCGCACACUCAUGCAACACUCACCCUACUGCUCCACAAUAAAACAUUUUAACAUUAUAGUACAGGAGAUCAAAAUACUUCCAAGCGCUUCAGAUUAAGUACCGUAAGGGAACGAUGAAAUAAAAAUGAAACAAAUUUAAAGCCCUAAAUAGCAGAGAUUGUCCCUCG
RNAcentral lists this ribosomal RNA (745 nucleotides) under Indosylvirana nicobariensis (Nicobar Island frog). RNAcentral's name for it is "partial 12S ribosomal RNA". The stretch from base 1 to 499 matches the Rfam family "Bacterial small subunit ribosomal RNA", at positions 794 to 1533 of the family's 1533-position model. The record is from RNAcentral. Lineage: Eukaryota; Metazoa; Chordata; Amphibia; Anura; Ranidae.